Molecule: ribosomal RNA, 200 nt
Filed under: uncultured bacterium
Lineage: Bacteria
Description: partial 16S ribosomal RNA
Rfam family: Bacterial small subunit ribosomal RNA
Source: RNAcentral
AGAGUUUGAUCCUGGCUCAGGACGAACGCUGGCGGCGUGCUUAACACAUGCAAGUCGAGCGGAAAGGCCCUUCGGGGUACUCGAGCGGCGAACGGGUGAGUAACACGUGAGUAACCUGCCCUUGGCUCUGGGAUAGCUCCGGGAAACCGGAAUUAAUACCGGAUAGGACCACUUGUGACAUCGCGGGUGGUGGAAAGAUU